This 253-nucleotide ribosomal RNA is filed under the name uncultured bacterium. RNAcentral's name for it is "partial 16S ribosomal RNA". It matches the Rfam family "Bacterial small subunit ribosomal RNA", at positions 524 to 776 of the family's 1533-position model. The record is from RNAcentral.
UACGGAGGGUGCAAGCGUUAUCCGGAUUUACUGGGUUUAAAGGGUGUGUAGGCGGACUUUUAAGUCAGGGGUGAAAUCCCUCGGCUCAACCAAGGAAGUGCAUCCGAAACUGCUGAGCUUGAGUACUUAAGAGGAUCGCGGAAUUCCCGGUGUAGCGGUGAAAUGCGUAGAUAUCGAGAGGAACACCUGCGGCGAAGGCGGGUUGCUGGGCUGACACUGACGCUGAUGCGCGAAAGCCAGGGGAGCGAACGGG